UCCCGGUUACCCGGGCAGUCUCCUAUGACAUAGUAACAUAGGAUGAGGGUUGCGUUCGUUUCGAGAAUUAACCCGACACCUUGAGGCACGAACUGACGACAACCAUGCACCAACUGUGCUACGCCCCCGAAGGGUAAUACGGAUCACCCGUAUGACACAUAGCAUGUCAAGUGAAGGUAAGAUUUCUGGCUUAUUAUCCAAUUACUCGAGACAAUCCACCUCUUGUGUGUUCCCCCGCCUAUCCCUUUGAGUUUCACUCUUGCGAGUAUACUACCCAGGCGAUCUGCUUAACCCGUUAGGUAACAGCACUUGGGGUAUAAGCCCAAACACUUAGCAGACAUAAUUUACGGCUCGGACUAC
RNAcentral lists this unclassified non-coding RNA (360 nucleotides) under uncultured bacterium. RNAcentral's name for it is "contains 16S-23S intergenic spacer region". The record is from RNAcentral.